GAAGAACGCUGGCGGCGUGCUUAACACAUGCAAGUCGAACGAAGUGGCGAACGGGUGAGUAAUAUGUUGGUAACCUGCCCUCCUUUUUGGGAUAAGCCUUGGAAACGGGGCUUAAUACUGUACAUAGGGGGAUGGGCUCGCGGCCUAUCAGCUUGUUGGUGGGGUGAUGGCCUACACAGGCGGUGACGGGUAGCCGGUGUGAGAUGGUGACCUGCCAACUGGGGACUGAGAUACGGCUCUGACUGCUACCGGCGGCAGUGGGGGAGAGUCUGGGACAAUGAGCAGAAGCCAGAUACAGAGACGCCUCGUGGGGGUUUCAGCCUUCCUGGUUGUAAACCGCAGUUGCUAGCGAGCAGGUAGGCUUGUAAGAAGAACAGGCGAACUACGUGUCAGCAGCCGCGGUAAUAC
Molecule: ribosomal RNA, 408 nt
Filed under: uncultured bacterium
Lineage: Bacteria
Description: partial 16S ribosomal RNA
Rfam family: Bacterial small subunit ribosomal RNA
Source: RNAcentral